This 742-nucleotide ribosomal RNA is filed under the name uncultured Bacilli bacterium. Its description in RNAcentral is "bacterial SSU rRNA". It matches the Rfam family "Bacterial small subunit ribosomal RNA", at positions 45 to 770 of the family's 1533-position model. The record is from RNAcentral. Lineage: Bacteria; Bacillati; Bacillota; Bacilli.
UGCCUAAUACAUGCAAGUAGAACGCUGAAGAGAGGAGCUUGCUCUUCUUGGAUGAGUUGCGAACGGGUGAGUAACGCGUAGGUAACCUGCCUUGUAGCGGGGGAUAACUAUUGGAAACGAUAGCUAAUACCGCAUAACAAUGGAUGACACAUGUCAUUUAUUUGAAAGGGGCAAUUGCUCCACUACAAGAUGGACCUGCGUUGUAUUAGCUAGUAGGUGAGGUAACGGCUCACCUAGGCGACGAUACAUAGCCGACCUGAGAGGGUGAUCGGCCACACUGGGACUGAGACACGGCCCAGACUCCUACGGGAGGCAGCAGUAGGGAAUCUUCGGCAAUGGGGGCAACCCUGACCGAGCAACGCCGCGUGAGUGAAGAAGGUUUUCGGAUCGUAAAGCUCUGUUGUAAGUCAAGAACGAGUGUGAGAGUGGAAAGUUCACACUGUGACGGUAGCUUACCAGAAAGGGACGGCUAACUACGUGCCAGCAGCCGCGGUAAUACGUAGGUCCCGAGCGUUGUCCGGAUUUAUUGGGCGUAAAGCGAGCGCAGGCGGUUUGAUAAGUCUGAAGUUAAAGGCUGUGGCUCAACCAUAGUUCGCUUUGGAAACUGUCAAACUUGAGUGCAGAAGGGGAGAGUGGAAUUCCAUGUGUAGCGGUGAAAUGCGUAGAUAUAUGGAGGAACACCGGUGGCGAAAGCGGCUCUCUGGUCUGUAACUGACGCUGAGGCUCGAAAGCGUGGGGAGCG